UACGUAGGGUGCAAGCGUUAAUCGGAAUUACUGGGCGUAAAGCGUGCGCAGGCGGUUAUGUAAGACAGAUGUGAAAUGCCCGGGCUUAACCUGGGAACUGCAUUUGUGACUGCAUGGCUAGAGUGUGUCAGAGGGGGGUAGAAUUCCACGUGUAGCAGUGAAAUGCGUAGAUAUGUGGAGGAAUACCGAUGGCGAAGGCAGCCCCCUGGGAUAACACUGACGCUCAUGGCACGAAAGCGUGGGGAGCAAACAGG
Molecule: ribosomal RNA, 254 nt
Filed under: uncultured bacterium
Lineage: Bacteria
Description: partial 16S ribosomal RNA
Rfam family: Bacterial small subunit ribosomal RNA
Source: RNAcentral